UACUGUUCUGCCAUGGUGUACUGGAAUGU
This 29-nucleotide non-coding RNA is filed under the name Mus musculus (house mouse). Lineage: Eukaryota; Metazoa; Chordata; Mammalia; Rodentia; Muridae. The record is from RNAcentral.